This is a long non-coding RNA of Cygnus olor (mute swan), 278 nucleotides long. RefSeq lists it as uncharacterized. NCBI's taxonomy places the organism in Eukaryota, Metazoa, Chordata, Aves, Anseriformes, Anatidae. The record is from RefSeq and is a predicted model, not a curated record. The transcript has 2 exons.
UGCAGAUUUCCACCAGUCUGACUGGAAAACCAGCAAAAAGCAAGACGGAAAAUGGAAGGAAGAGAAACAUCUCUGAAAUGGUUACAGGCAAAUCUUUAUUAAGCCCAUUGCUCAGGAGGUCACUCCCAGUGAAAUGAUCUUGAAGAACUCAGCCAGAUUUCCUCUACGUCAGACAGACCACUGCUCCGGGCUGGCAAACAUUUUGCCAAAUGGACUUGGAUUUCAAAGAUUUUGUGUUCACUUGAUGAAAAUAAGAUGUUACACACUUUGUGUUUUCA